CGCAUGGCAGUGCCUCUGUAGUCUCCGCUACUAGAGAGGCUAAGGCAGAAGGAUUGCUCGAUCCAAGGAGUUCCAGCCCCACCUGAGCAACAUAGCAAGACACCAACUCAAAAAAAUAAAACGCUUCUUUCCAUUUGCUUAAAAGGAGCCCCGGUACCUUUCUCCUUGAAGCUAAUCACUGUCAGAUACUACAAGGGCCAUGGUCUCCUCCACCCCAGGGACAGACAUAGUGCAGUUUCGAUGAAAGGGCCAGGAGGUAAUGGUAGUCAUUGUGGAUAAAGGCCUUGUGUUUGGAGCUGAAGAUAAUGUCGGAGGCCCUUGAGUCCAAACUCCUGGUCCAGGAGACAAGAUUAAGUCUCUAAGGCCGGAGGAACGGAGGCCACCUUCAAAGCCAGGCAUCUGACUCAGGAGACCAGGCUCAAGACCACUGGCCUUAAUUGCAUCUUCUCUGAACCAGUAAGGUAAGGCCUUGAAGCCAAAGGUGCAGUGGAGACCCCAGAAGUCUGGGGGAGCCAGGAAUGUCAUUGGUCUGGGGAAAAUUGCAAGGAGGGAGCAAAGCCAGCCCAAGAGAGAAGCCAUGGGAGCUACAACCACCAGAAGUCCCAUAGGGGCGGGGCCACCCAAGUUCUUUGGAGCCCACAUCUUGUCACAGAUUGCUGGGGAUGCUGCACUGCAUGUGGAACUAUGGGGCUUAGUUUGCCCUGCUGGAUUUUGGACUUGCUUUGGACCCAUUCCUUUGUAUCCCCCUGUUUGUACCAUUUGGAAUGGAAAGGUCUAUCUUGUGGCACUGACUAUUGGAAGUAUUCAACUUUCUUUUCAUUUGUAGAGGGGCUCACAGCUAAGAGUCUUUCUUAAAUCUCAGAGGAGUCUUGGGACUUGGGCUUUUCAGCAAGGCUGAAACUGUUAGGACUUUGGCAACUUUUAGAGAUGGACAAAAUGCGUUUUGCAUAGAGGAAUGUACACGAGCCUUCAGGGGACCAAGGGCAGAAUGUUAUGGUUUGUGUCUAGAUUUCCCCCCAAUGCCUCUUGUGGUCAUAGGUGGAGGCUUUUUCAGAGGUGGCUGAAUCUAGUGUGUGAUGCUGGGAUUAAGGGCAUGUGGUUAGUAAAUCAGUCUACUGAUUGGUUUGGUACUGCCCUAAUCCCAGUAGCCUGGAUAGAAUAUAAAAAGGGGCAGAAAGAAGCUGCUAAGGUCACUAGUUGGUUCCCUUGUUUGCUUUGCUACCUUCUGCCCACCGUGUACUGUUUCCCCACUGCGAUGCCUGUCUGUCAUUCACCCUGCCUUGGAGCCAGCCAGUUAUGGACUGAAACCUCAACAAACUGUGAGCUAAAUAAACCUUUCCUCCCUUAACUUGUGGAUGUUGGGUAUUUUCACCCAGCAAGAAGACAGGUAACUAAAACAGGCCUCUUUUUUUUCAUAUUAAAAG
Long non-coding RNA from Heterocephalus glaber (naked mole-rat), 1424 nucleotides. The record is from Ensembl. NCBI's taxonomy places the organism in Eukaryota, Metazoa, Chordata, Mammalia, Rodentia, Bathyergidae.